Paramuricea clavata is the source of this 458-nucleotide non-coding RNA. NCBI's taxonomy places the organism in Eukaryota, Metazoa, Cnidaria, Anthozoa, Malacalcyonacea, Plexauridae. The record is from the annotation of a GenBank genome assembly.
CCCAAUGGCUUCUAAAUAGAGAAUGGAUGAAAAGUUCAUGAAUAUUGAGCUUUAUAUGUGAAUCAGGUUAAAUACAAUAAUUAGUUAACCUAGCUUUAUAUAAAAUGUACAUACAUGUUCUAAUAAUUGUAUUUUGCUUCAUACAAUGCAUAUGUGUGUGGAAACAUUACAUUAUUAUUUAGCUCACUCCCCACAUUGGGGCUUUUCAGUGACCGAUUACAUCAAGUACUAUGAUUACUUAUGUUAGCCUAGACUAUUUAUCUUUACAACAAUGAGAAUAUGAUAUUACUUUCCUAACUGUGUUUAUAUCCUAACCCACCCUGCCAAUUUUGCCUUGUGGGAGGAAACCGGAGCAAAAUAUAAAAUUCAAUUCCUUUGAAAACACCUAAAUUGCAAUCCCUAAAAUUUAAAAUGUUUUCUUAAAUCGCCUAAAAUCGCAUUAAAUCGCAGUGCUUGAA